AUUUCUUCAUAUUGCAUGUUUCUUCCAACGACAUAGUAACUAUGAUGUUGAGGAAAUAUUAGAAGCAUUUGAUUUGUUUCCAAAAAGUGCAAUACCUCGUCUAAUUAACAAAUCUCUCAUAAAUAUUUCAAAAUUCGAUGAAGUAGAUAUGCAUGAUUUGCUAGAGCAAAUGGGUAAGGAUAUUGUUAUUGAGGAAUGCAAACAGCCUGGA
This 211-nucleotide unclassified non-coding RNA is filed under the name Hevea brasiliensis (rubber tree). The record is from RNAcentral. Lineage: Eukaryota; Viridiplantae; Streptophyta; Magnoliopsida; Malpighiales; Euphorbiaceae.